AGUGAACGCUGGCGGUAGGCCUAACACAUGCAAGUCGAACGGCAGCACAGUAAGAGCUUGCUCUUACGGGUGGCGAGUGGCGGACGGGUGAGGAAUACAUCGGAAUCUACUUUUUCGUGGGGGAUAACGUAGGGAAACUUACGCUAAUACCGCAUACGACCUACGGGUGAAAGCAGGGGAUCUUCGGACCUUGCGCGAUUGAAUGAGCCGAUGUCGGAUUAGCUAGUUGGCGGGGUAAAGGCCCACCAAGGCGACGAUCCGUAGCUGGUCUGAGAGGAUGAUCAGCCACACUGGAACUGAGACACGGUCCAGACUCCUACGGGAGGCAGCAGUGGGGAAUAUUGGACAAUGGGCGCAAGCCUGAUCCAGCCAUACCGCGUGGGUGAAGAAGGCCUUCGGGUUGUAAAGCCCUUUUGUUGGGAAAGAAAAGCAGCAGGUUAACACCCCGCUGUUCUGACGGUACCCAAAGAAUAAGCACCGGCUAACCUCGUG
This 492-nucleotide ribosomal RNA is filed under the name uncultured bacterium. RNAcentral describes it as "partial 16S ribosomal RNA". It matches the Rfam family "Bacterial small subunit ribosomal RNA", at positions 29 to 507 of the family's 1533-position model. The record is from RNAcentral.